AGAUUGAACACUGGCGGCAUGCCUUACACAUGCAAGUCGAACGGUAGAGUAGCAAUACUUGAGAGUGGCGAACGGGUGAGUAAUAUAUCGGAACGUGCCCAGUCGUGGGGGAUAACGUAGAGAAAUUUACGCUAAUACCGCAUACGAUCUAAGGAUGAAAGCGGGGGACUCGCAAGAGCCUCGCGCGAUUGGAGCGGCUGAUAUCAGAUUAGGUUGUUGGUGAGGUAAAAGCUCACCAAGCCGACGAUCUGUAGCUGGUUUGAGAGAACGACCAGCCACACUGGGACUGAGACACGGCCCAGACUCCUACGGGAGGCAGCAGUGGGAAUUUUGGACAAUGGGCGAAAGCCUGAUCCAGCAAUGCCGCGUGCAGGAAGAAGGCCUUCGGUUGUAGCUGCUUUUGUACGGAACGAACGGUCUGCUUUAAUACAGCGACUAAUGACGGUACGUAAGAAUAAGCACCGGACUAACGUACGUGCCAGCAGCCGUA
RNAcentral lists this ribosomal RNA (490 nucleotides) under uncultured soil bacterium. RNAcentral describes it as "bacterial SSU rRNA". It matches the Rfam family "Bacterial small subunit ribosomal RNA", at positions 26 to 519 of the family's 1533-position model. The record is from RNAcentral.